AGCAGCCGCGGUAAUUCCAGCUCCAAUAGCGUAUAUUAAAGUUGUUGCAGUUAAAAAGCUCGUAGUUGAAUUUCGGGAUUGACGUGAUGGUCAUGCCUUAAGGGGUAUGAACUGUUGCUGUUGAUUUCUCACCUUCUGGAGAAACUUGAUGUCCUUUAUUGGGUGUCUUGCGGAUCCAGGACCUUUACCUUGAAAAAAUUAGAGUGUUUAAAGCAGGCAUUUUUGCUCGAAUACAUUAGCAUGGAAUAAUAGAAUAGGACGGCAUGGUUCUAUUUUGUUGGUUUCUAGGAUCACCGUAAUGAUUAAUAGGGAUAGUUGGGGGCAUUAGUAUUCAAUUGUCAGAGGUGAAAUUCUUGGAUUUAUUGAAGACUAACUACUGCGAAAGCAUUUGCCAAGGAUGUUUUCAUUAAUUAAGAACGAAAGUUAGGGGAUCGAAGACGAUCAGAUACCGUCGUAGUCUUAACCAUAAACUAUGCCGACUAGGAAUCAGACGAUGUUAAUUUUUUAAUUGACUCGUUUU
Molecule: ribosomal RNA, 520 nt
Filed under: uncultured Entrophospora
Lineage: Eukaryota; Fungi; Glomeromycota; Glomeromycetes; Entrophosporales; Entrophosporaceae
Description: SSU rRNA
Rfam family: Eukaryotic small subunit ribosomal RNA
Source: RNAcentral